This 382-nucleotide ribosomal RNA is filed under the name uncultured marine Chaetocerotaceae. Its description in RNAcentral is "SSU rRNA". It matches the Rfam family "Eukaryotic small subunit ribosomal RNA", at positions 587 to 972 of the family's 1831-position model. The record is from RNAcentral. Lineage: Eukaryota; Bacillariophyta; Thalassiosirophyceae; Chaetocerotales; Chaetocerotaceae.
AGCUUCAGUAGCGUAUAUUAAAGUUGUUGCAGUUAAAAAGCUCGUAGUCGCAUUUCUGGCGAGAGGAUCCGGUCCGACCUUUUGGUGGGUUCUUGGGUCUCUUUCGCCAUCCUUGAGUGGUCCGUUCUGGCAUUAGGUUGUCGGAGCGUCAGCCGCUCAUCGUUUACUGUGAGAAAAUUAGAGUGUUCAAAGCAGGCUUAUGCCGUUGAAUAUAUUAGCAUGGAAUAAUAAGAGAGGACCUCGGUACUAGUUUGUUGGUUUGCGCACCAAGGUAAUGAUGAACAGGGACAGUUGGGGGUAUUUGUAUUUCGUUGUCAGAGGUGAAAUUCUUAGAUUUACGAAAGACAAACUACUGCGAAAGCAUUUACCAAGGAUGUUUUCA